This 442-nucleotide ribosomal RNA is filed under the name uncultured bacterium. Its description in RNAcentral is "bacterial SSU rRNA". It matches the Rfam family "Bacterial small subunit ribosomal RNA", at positions 958 to 1399 of the family's 1533-position model. The record is from RNAcentral.
AACGCGAAGAACCUUACCUACCCUUGACAUACAGUGGAGCUUGCAGAGAUGUGAGUGUGCCGAGAGGAACACUGAUACAGGUGCUGCAUGGCUGUCGUCAGCUCGUGUCGUGAGAUGUUGGGUUAAGUCCCGUAACGAGCGCAACCCUUAUUCUUAGUUGCCAGCACGUAAAGGUGGGAACUCUAAGGAGACUGCCGGUGACAAGCCGGAGGAAGGCGGGGACGACGUCAAGUCAUCAUGGCCCUUACGGGUAGGGCUACACACGUGCUACAAUGGCUGAUACAGAGGGCAGCGAAGGGGUGACCUGGAGCGAAUCUUUAAAAGUCAGUCGUAGUCCGGAUUGGAGUCUGCAACUCGACUUCAUGAAGUCGGAAUCGCUAGUAAUCGCGAAUCAGCAUGUCGCGGUGAAUACGUUCCCGGGCCUUGUACACACCGACGCGUA